CAAAGCCGGAAGUUGGAUAAAUUACAGUUUGAAAUCAUGGAGCUUGGCGUAAAGUCCAGAGAAAAAAUAUAUGAAAGACUCGAUUCUCUGGGAGAGGGAUAGUUUGCCACAGUGUACAAGACAAUACCAACGACACGAUAGUUGCCAUCAAGAAGAUCAACGUUGGACACAGCAGAGGCUACAGAUGGCAUCAACAACAGCCCUACGAGAGAUUAAACUACUGUAGGAGUUAAGUCACCCAAACAUUAUCGGGCUCCUUGAUGUUUUUGGGCAUGAAUUCAACAUCAGCUUGGUGUUUGACUUCAUGGAGACAGACCUGGAGGCACAGAUAUGGGUUCAGUCAUACCGAACAUCAAAGACUGGCUGAUGCCCAGAGAGAACCAGAGAGAGGGAGCAGCCUGAGAGCUAUGGUGAUGAUUAAAGAUACCAGUCUGGUGCUGACUCCAGCCAACUCUACUGGGCCUGGAGUACAUGCACCACCACUGGGUUCUCCACAGGGAAGUUGAAGCCCAGGCCUCAAAGCACUGUCAUACAAUACACACCUUCUCAUAGGUGCCUGUGUGAGUAAACACUGUGUGUACGAUCUGAAGCCCAAUAACCUGCUGCUGGAUGAGAAUGGGCUGCUGAAGCUGUCUGAUUUUGGUUUGACUAAAACUCUCGACAGCCCUACAGUCUACACUCACCAGGUGGUGUCGUUCUCCAGAGUUGUUCGGUGCCAGGAUGUAUGGAGUGGGCGUCGACAUGUGGGCCGUGGGCUGGGUCCUUGCGGAGCUUCUACAGGUACACACACUCCAUAAGCUCAGUCCAAUUUAAACAUUGAGAUGAGACAAAACAAGUUUGUCUGUAGAAUGGCACAGAAACUAAGCAGCUCAAUUUAACUUUGUUCUGAAAUUGUCUUGUCUCUGUGAUUUAAAAAGAAAUCUAGACUGAACAUCAAGGUUCAGACUACUGUGUUGUUAGACACACACCUUUCUAUAUACAUAAUUCUGCAUCCCAAAUGGCAAGCUAUUCCCUGUAUAGUGUACUACUUUUGACCAGGGCACAUAGGACUCUGGUCAAAAGUUGUACGAUAUGUAGGGAAUGUGUUUGCCAUUUGAGACUCCACCCAUGUUCACUACAUGUCUGUGGUGUAACAGCCUCUGUCUCUCUCCAGUUACCAUUCCUAGCAGCAGACUCCUGGCCCGUGAGUGUCUGUCUUUUCUGAGUCUGCAUGUGUGGUUCAUUUAAGACUAAGCAACGCCUUGAAAAUAUCUGGAUUUAAAUAAUGCCUUCAUGUCUGUCUGUCUCUGUCUCUCUCUCUCUCGGGGAUGAGUAGUUGUUUAAAUAGUUUUCUGGUACUCUGGAACAUAUCUUCAGUGCUGCAGGAGACAACCUUUUAGAAGGACUACAGGGUCUAUUCACCUUCAACCCCUCCACACGCCUUACAGCUACACAGGUAUGCUGUGUGCUAUGGCACUUAGUAUCUUUCACAAGUUACUUUGUUUCUCAAUUGGUUGUAUAACCUGUUUUUAUGGACUGUAAUGUGAUACACAGUUCAGCACACAAACACAGGGGGUCCCUGGGUCCUGUGUGGGAGGGUGAUCUGGCAUACAGACAUACAGCUGCUGUGUGGCUUUGUCAGCCUGUCCCCCCUGCUGUUCAGUUCUGUGUCAGAACUACCUCAGGCUAUAGGAACCCCUGAGCCCCCCUCGACCUCCCUUCUCUUUGGCUUUUCUCUGGAAGAGUCUUAAAUGGCACCCUAUUCCCUAUUUAGUGCACUACUUUUGACCAGUGCUUAAAGCAGUGCACUAAAUAAGGAGGCAUUUGGGAUGAAGUCAGUCUGUUUAUUCAGUGCUGUUUCUCCCAGCUCUACCCCCCCCCUCCUCCCAUCUCCUCUCAACAGCCUCUGAGGGUGAGGUACUUCACUAACAGCCCCAGCUGCCCCAGCACAACUCCUCAUCCGAGCCUCUCAAAGAGAAUCAAGAGGAAACGAGAUGGUCUGGAGACAAGGAAUGAACAACACACAGACACACACGCACGCCUCAGCAUUGGAAUCAAUAGCACAGACAUCAUUAUUCCAUCAUACACCAGAGCUAGAAGUUUAAAUACCUCAUUGACAUGUUUGUGUUUGACCAUGAUAUUAUUAACAACAUGGUAAAUAUUAUUCUGCUUGCUUAUUUAAACUGAUGGUUUGGCUUGUACAAAGGAUUCAAUGACUGGUUUCCAAUUUUGGAUUUGCCAGAAAGGGCCUCCCAUACCUAGAAUGCAUACAUAUUUUUGUACUGUGACCAUGUUAUCAGAAGUAACCUCGUCAAUUAAACACAAAUAUUCUCACACACUGUCAGAGUAACAUGGUCUACUCGCAUAGAACUGAAAUCCCAUUAGAAUCAGAGCCCAGUAAUUAAAAGGAUGUAGGCGGUACAAAAUAGCGCAAUAGCAACCCAGGACUAACACACACACACACACACACACACAGGUGAAGGGAUGGUGGCGGUACGUUUAACUGCAACAAAAACCGAGUGUUACUGGGAGGUUCAACGUGUGGUUUGGGAACUAUUUAGGUCGACUGGGUUGUAUAUUAUAAUACUCUGAGCUAGAGUUGAAAAGAGGCUCUGGGUGUUGAAAUGUAAAUGUAGUUGUUAGCAGGUGGUGAGUGUAUACGUUCAUUACAGCAAUGGUUGUUUUUCCUUUUCAGGCACCAUAAAGAAGAAAUUGAUACUCUGAUAGGGAUAUAGAGGGCAUUUGCUUCAAUGGAGAAACAUGACUAGUCUUGCUGUUAAACUUCCAGUGUGGUUCAUUGGACUAGGUAGCUAGAAGUUGCCCCUAAACAGUGGUCCAUGGUUAGGUUUUUUUAAAUCCUCUUAAUGGUUAAGUUUAGUGUUGAAUAAUGUUAUUCUAGACCUGUGGUUAGUGGCAACUUCUAACUCCAGUGUGGCGCGUGUGGUCCAGUGGAAAAGACCUCCAGUGUGGCGCGUGUGGUCCAGUGGAAAAGACCUCCAGUGUGGCGCGUGUGGUCCAGUGGAAAAGACCUCCAGUGUGGCGCGUGUGGUCCAGUGGAAAAGACCUCCAGUGUGGCGCGUGUGGUCCAGUGGAAAAAACCUCCAGUGUGGCGCGUGUGGUCCAGUGGAAAAAACCUCCAGUGUGGCGCGUGUGGUCCAGUGGAAAAAACCUCCAGUGUGGCGCGUGUGGUCCAGUGGAAAAGACCUCCAGUGUGGUCUAACGGUGGUUCUGCUAGAGCACAACUAUUUAGGUGACGAAAGAAGAAAAAAACAGCAACAAUGUAUUUUGGUCAUGAUUCAUUGCAUACAUUUAGAUGUACUGUAUUUUGGUCAUGAUUCAUUGCAUACAUUUAGAUGUACUGUAUUUUGGUCAUGAUUCAUUGCAUACAUUUAGAUGUACUGUAUUUUGGUCAUGAUUCAUUGCAUACAUUUAGAUGUACUGUAUUUUGGUCAUGAUUCAUUGCAUACAUUUAGAUGUACUGUAUUUUGGUCAUGAUUCAUUGCAUACAUUUAGAUGUACUAUAUUUUUGUAUGUUAUUUCUUUUUGAUGAAUGUGAUAAAUAAUUCUGAGAUUGUGGUUGUUCAUUUGGUUGACACUUCUGAAUUAGCUGACUCUUAGCUGACUCACCUUAGAAUAAAGUAUCUAAUCAAUUAUACAAAAACAAAUUAUGAAUGCAAUUAAUUAAGUGGAGAAAUGUUAGUAAAAAAGAAAUAAAAAUACCUACUCCCA
This is a long non-coding RNA of Salmo salar (Atlantic salmon), 3708 nucleotides long. RefSeq lists it as uncharacterized. The record is from RefSeq and is a predicted model, not a curated record. Lineage: Eukaryota; Metazoa; Chordata; Actinopteri; Salmoniformes; Salmonidae.